GCCCGCGUGGCGGAACUGGUAUACGCGACGGACUUAAAAUCCGUUGGUCUUCGGACCUUGGGAGUUCGAGUCUCCCCGCGGGCACCA
This 87-nucleotide transfer RNA is filed under the name Rhodospirillaceae bacterium. RNAcentral describes it as "tRNA-Leu". It matches the Rfam family "tRNA". Rfam says of the family: Transfer RNA (tRNA) molecules are approximately 80 nucleotides in length. The record is from RNAcentral. Lineage: Bacteria; Pseudomonadati; Pseudomonadota; Alphaproteobacteria; Rhodospirillales; Rhodospirillaceae.